Small nucleolar RNA from Eptesicus fuscus (big brown bat), 102 nucleotides. RefSeq annotates it as small nucleolar RNA U13. The transcript has a single exon. The record is from RefSeq and is a predicted model, not a curated record. NCBI's taxonomy places the organism in Eukaryota, Metazoa, Chordata, Mammalia, Chiroptera, Vespertilionidae.
AUCCUUUUGUAGUUCAUAAGUAUGAUGAUUGGGUGUUCACACUCUUGUGUGGGAUGUGCCUCCCACAAACCUUGUUCCAUCUUCACAUUUUUCCCUCUGACA